GCCUCUGGCUAUAGGAAAUUGUUAGUGGCAGACGGGUGAGUAAUGCGUAGGAAUCUACCUAGUAGUACGGAAUAGCCAUUAGAAAUGGUGGGUAAUACUGUAUAAUCCCCGAGGGGGAAAGAUUUAUCGCUAUUAGAUGAGCCUACGUUAGAUUAGCUAGUUGGUGAGGUAAUGGCUUACCAAGGCUAUGAUCUAUAGCUGGUCUGAGAGGACGAUCAGCCACACUGGAACUGAGAUACGGUCCAGACUCCUACGGGAGGCAGCAGUGGGGAAUAUUGGACAAUGGGCGAAAGCCUGAUCCAGCUAUGCCGCGUGAGUGAAGAAGGCCUUCGGGUUGUAAAACUCUUUCAAUAGGGAAGAUAAUGACGGUACCUA
RNAcentral lists this ribosomal RNA (375 nucleotides) under uncultured bacterium. RNAcentral's name for it is "bacterial SSU rRNA". It matches the Rfam family "Bacterial small subunit ribosomal RNA", at positions 73 to 481 of the family's 1533-position model. The record is from RNAcentral.